Molecule: ribosomal RNA, 2907 nt
Filed under: Providencia stuartii
Lineage: Bacteria; Pseudomonadati; Pseudomonadota; Gammaproteobacteria; Enterobacterales; Morganellaceae
Description: 23S ribosomal RNA
Rfam family: Bacterial large subunit ribosomal RNA
Source: RNAcentral
GGUUAAGCGACUAAGCGUACACGGUGGAUGCCUAGGCAAUCAGAGGCGAUGAAGGACGUGCUAAUCUGCGAAAAGCGUCGGUAAGGUGAUAUGAACCGUUAUAACCGACGAUAUCCGAAUGGGGAAACCCAGUGCAAUUCGUUGCACUAUCGUUUGAUGAAUACAUAGUCAAACGAGGCGAACCGAGGGAACUGAAACAUCUCAGUACCUCGAGGAAAAGAAAUCAACCGAGAUUCCCCUAGUAGCGGCGAGCGAACGGGGAGCAGCCCAGAGUCUUAAUCAGCAUUAGCAUCAGGAGAACAGUCUGGAAAGGCUGGCAGUAAAGGGUGAUAGCCCCGUAUCCGAAGGUGUUAGUGUUGUGAACUCGACGAGUAGGGCGGGACACGUGUUAUCCUGUCUGAAUAUGGGGGGACCAUCCUCCAAGGCUAAAUACUCCUGAUUGACCGAUAGUGAACCAGUACCGUGAGGGAAAGGCGAAAAGAACCCCGGCGAGGGGAGUGAAAUAGAACCUGAAACCGUGUACGUACAAGCAGUGGGAGCACCCUUCGGGGUGUGACUGCGUACCUUUUGUAUAAUGGGUCAGCGACUUAUAUUCUGUAGCAAGGUUAACCGAAUAGGGGAGCCGUAGGGAAACCGAGUCUUAACUGGGCGAAUGAGUUGCAGGGUAUAGACCCGAAACCCGGUGAUCUAGCCAUGGGCAGGUUGAAGGUUGGGUAACACUAACUGGAGGACCGAACCGACUAAUGUUGAAAAAUUAGCGGAUGACUUGUGGCUGGGGGUGAAAGGCCAAUCAAACCGGGAGAUAGCUGGUUCUCCCCGAAAGCUAUUUAGGUAGCGCCUCGUGAACUCAUCUUCGGGGGUAGAGCACUGUUUCGACUAGGGGGUCAUCCCGACUUACCAACUCGAUGCAAACUACGAAUACCGAAGAAUGUUAUCACGGGAGACACACGGCGGGUGCUAACGUUCGUCGUGAAGAGGGAAACAACCCAGACCGCCAGCUAAGGUCCCAAAGUCAUAGUUAAGUGGGAAACGAAGUGGGAAGGCUCAGACAGCCAGGAUGUUGGCUUAGAAGCAGCCAUCAUUUAAAGAAAGCGUAAUAGCUCACUGGUCGAGUCGGCCUGCGCGGAAGAUGUAACGGGGCUAAACUAUGCACCGAAGCUGCGGCAGCGAUAUUUAGAUAUUGUUGGGUAGGGGAGCGUUCUGUAAGCCUGUGAAGGUGUACUGUGAGGUAUGCUGGAGGUAUCAGAAGUGCGAAUGCUGACAUAAGUAACGAUAAUGCGGGUGAAAAACCCGCACGCCGGAAGACCAAGGGUUCCUGUCCAACGUUAAUCGGGGCAGGGUGAGUCGACCCCUAAGGCGAGGCAGAAAUGCGUAGUCGAUGGGAAACGGGUUAAUAUUCCCGUACUGGUGAUAAUUGCGAUGGGGGGACGGAGAAGGUUAGGCUAGCCGGGCGACGGUUGUCCCGGUUUAAGGAUGUAGGCAGGUGAAUUAGGCAAAUCCGGUUCACUAUAUGCUGAGGUCUGAUGACGAGCCACUACGGUGGUGAAGUAGCUCAUACCCCGCUUCCAGGAAAAGCCUCUAAGCUCUAGAUUAUCAUUAAUCGUACCCCAAACCGACACAGGUGGUCAGGUAGAGAAUACUCAGGCGCUUGAGAGAACUCGGGUGAAGGAACUAGGCAAAAUGGUGCCGUAACUUCGGGAGAAGGCACGCUGGCGCUAGGUGAAGUGGUUUACCCAUGGAGCUGAAGCCAGUCGCAGAUACCAGCUGGCUGCAACUGUUUAUUAAAAACACAGCACUGUGCAAACACGAAAGUGGACGUAUACGGUGUGACGCCUGCCCGGUGCUGGAAGGUUAAUUGAUGGGGUUAUCCGUAAGGAGAAGCUCUUGAUCGAAGCCCCAGUAAACGGCGGCCGUAACUAUAACGGUCCUAAGGUAGCGAAAUUCCUUGUCGGGUAAGUUCCGACCUGCACGAAUGGCGUAAUGAUGGCCAGGCUGUCUCCACCCGAGACUCAGUGAAAUUGAACUCGCUGUGAAGAUGCAGUGUACCCGCGGCAAGACGGAAAGACCCCGUGAACCUUUACUAUAGCUUGACACUGAACAUUGAGCCUUGAUGUGUAGGAUAGGUGGGAGGCUUCGAAGCGUGGACGCCAGUCUGCGUGGAGCCAACCUUGAAAUACCACCCUUUAAUGUUUGAUGUUCUAACGUUGCCCCGUAAUCCGGGGUGCGGACAGUGUCUGGUGGGUAGUUUGACUGGGGCGGUCUCCUCCCAAAGAGUAACGGAGGAGCACGAAGGUUGGCUAAGCAUGGUCGGACAUCAUGCGGUUAGUGCAAAGGCAUAAGCCAGCUUGACUGCGAGAGUGACGGCUCGAGCAGGUACGAAAGUAGGUCUUAGUGAUCCGGUGGUUCUGAAUGGAAGGGCCAUCGCUCAACGGAUAAAAGGUACUCCGGGGAUAACAGGCUGAUACCGCCCAAGAGUUCAUAUCGACGGCGGUGUUUGGCACCUCGAUGUCGGCUCAUCACAUCCUGGGGCUGAAGUAGGUCCCAAGGGUACGGCUGUUCGCCGUUUAAAGUGGUACGCGAGCUGGGUUUAGAACGUCGUGAGACAGUUCGGUCCCUAUCUGCCGUGGGCGUUGGAAGAUUGAAAGGGGCUGCUCCUAGUACGAGAGGACCGGAGUGGACGCACCACUGGUGUUCGGGUUGUCAUGCCAAUGGCAUUGCCCGGUAGCUAAGUGCGGAAAAGAUAACCGCUGAAAGCAUCUAAGCGGGAAACUUGCCUUGAGAUGAGUCUUCCCUGACCCUUUAAGGGUCCUAAAGGAACGUUUAAGACUAAGACGUUGAUAGGUUGGGUGUGUAAGCGUAGCGAUACGUUGAGCUAACCAAUACUAAUGAACCGUGAGGCUUAACCUG